This 404-nucleotide ribosomal RNA is filed under the name uncultured bacterium. RNAcentral's name for it is "bacterial SSU rRNA". It matches the Rfam family "Bacterial small subunit ribosomal RNA", at positions 355 to 776 of the family's 1533-position model. The record is from RNAcentral.
UGGGGAAUAUUGCACAAUGGGGGAAACCCUGAUGCAGCGACGCCGCGUGAGCGAAGAAGUAUCUCGGUAUGUAAAGCUCUAUCAGCAGGGAAGAAGAUGACGGUACCUGACUAAGAAGCUCCGGCUAAAUACGUGCCAGCAGCCGCGGUAAUACGUAUGGAGCAAGCGUUAUCCGGAUUUACUGGGUGUAAAGGGAGCGCAGGCGGCCAGGCAAGUCCGAUGUGAAAUACCGGGGCCCAACCCCGGGGCUGCAUUGGAAACUGUCGGGCUGGAGUGUCGGAGGGGCAGGCGGAAUUCCUAGUGUAGCGGUGAAAUGCGUAGAUAUUAGGAGGAACACCGGUGGCGAAGGCGGCCUGCUGGACGACGACUGACGCUGAGGCUCGAAAGCGUGGGGAGCAAACAGG